CCCUUAGAUGUCCUGGGCCGCACGCGCGCUACACUGAUGAAGGCAGCGAGUCCACCUUGGUCGGAAGGCCCGGGUAAUCUUGUGAAACUUCAUCGUGAUGGGGAUAGAUCAUUGCAAUUAUUGAUCUUCAACGAGGAAUUCCUAGUAAGCGCAAGUCAUCAGCUUGCGUUGAUUACGUCCCUGCCCUUUGUACACACCGCCCGUCGCUCCUACCGAUUGUGUGCACAGGUGAGGACUAGGGAGCCCCGAUGUAGGGUAGUUUCUACCCCACUUUGGGACGAACUUGUCCAAAUCUUUUCACAUAGAGGAAGGAGAAGUCGUAACA
RNAcentral lists this ribosomal RNA (325 nucleotides) under uncultured eukaryote. RNAcentral's name for it is "partial 18S ribosomal RNA". It matches the Rfam family "Eukaryotic small subunit ribosomal RNA", at positions 1470 to 1796 of the family's 1831-position model. The record is from RNAcentral.